UGGACACAUGAAUUGCCCCAAAAUUACAAAUGAAGAUUGGUUUCGAUUGAAGCUCAUUCAAUGUAGCUUGAACAUAACAAAUUUUUUUAAUGAACACAAUACAAUUUCUAGAUGAACAUAACAAAUUUUUUUAAAUGAACAAACAUAAUUUCUAAACGAACAGAACACAAUUCUUCAACGAACAGGAGUUUAGCUGAAAAAUCAAUCUAACAGCCACGAUGCUUUGGUGGUUCAGCCGCCGUAAACUUCAUUGUGCUUCAAUCCUAAAUCUAAUCAACAUCUCGAACAAACCAACAUCUAUGAACACAAAGUCCAUUUGGAAACAGCAUUAGUACACUUCGAACAAACCUCACAACUAUGGACAGAAAGUCCAUUUUCUCAAAGAAAUCAAAAUCUGCAAUAUUAAGGGGAUCAUAGCAAACUACAUUUGGCAGAACAAAAAUCCCCAAAAUAGUUCAAACAGAAUCACAACUAUUUGAACAGACACAUUUAUACAAAGAACACAACAACUAUAAACAGCAAAAUUCCCCAGACGAAAAAAUGCACACCAAAAGGAUUCUCCCAAAAUUCCCAAAUUCCAGAUCUGAAAUUUUGCGUUUCCAAAUUUCUUGAACAAAUCAGAGUUGAAUCUGCCGCCUCCACCGCUGCCAAACCCGACGAAGCCCACCACCUCCAGAUCUGCACAAUCCUCUACCAACAACAAAAUUCCCCAGACGCAAAGCCGAACACCAAAAUCACAAAUCAAUCAAAAUAUGAAAUAGAGAUAAUUAAAACAACAAGAUCUCAACAAUCGUCAUCUCGCCGUACUCCUUGGUCGGCCGCGCACCGAAUUCGGUCACUCCAUCAGCGCUGAAUCAGCCGGCGAAUUCGCUCCCUAUCAUCACGUGGCGGCAGAGGGAGGCGGAAGCGCUUCGCUGCGCCGGAAACGACGAGAGAGAGAGAGAGGAGGGAGAAAAAGACAGAGGGGUGGCUAGGGCAUGGUGAUGGCUCCGCCAGUGCUGUUCAAUCGAGAACACAUGAAAUGGCAGGGGAGCGUGGUCGUGGCAGCAGAGGGGGACGGAAGCACCUCGCCGCGCCGGAAGCGGUUUUGAACAAGAGAGAGGCAUCGGUGAAGAGAGAGA
Molecule: long non-coding RNA, 1121 nt
Filed under: Salvia miltiorrhiza (redroot sage)
Lineage: Eukaryota; Viridiplantae; Streptophyta; Magnoliopsida; Lamiales; Lamiaceae
Description: long non-coding RNA (SMIL_LNC005972)
Source: RNAcentral